Molecule: ribosomal RNA, 490 nt
Filed under: uncultured bacterium
Lineage: Bacteria
Description: partial 16S ribosomal RNA
Rfam family: Bacterial small subunit ribosomal RNA
Source: RNAcentral
AGUGAACGCUGGCGGUAGGCCUAACACAUGCAAGUCGAACGGCAGCACAGUAAGAGCUUGCUCUUACGGGUGGCGAGUGGCGGACGGGUGAGGAGUACAUCGGAAUCUACUUUUUCGUGGGGGAUAACGUAGGGAAACUUACGCUAAUACCGCAUACGACCUACGGGUGAAAGCAGGGGAUCUUCGGACCUUGCGCGAUUGAAUGAGCCGAUGUCGGAUUAGCUAGUUGGCGGGGUAAAGGCCCACCAAGGCGACGAUCCGUAGCUGGUCUGAGAGGAUGAUCAACCACACUGGAACUGAGACACGGUCCAGACUCCUACGGGAGGCAGCAGUGGGGAAUAUUGGACAAUGGGCGCAAGCCUGAUCCAGCCAUACCGCGUGGGUGAAGAAGGCCUUCGGGUUGUAAAGCCCUUUUGUUGGGAAAGAAAAGCAGCAGGUUAAUACCCCGCUGUUCUGACGGUACCCAAAGAAUAAGCACCGGCUAACUUCG